GGUUAUGUGGUUUAAUGGUUAGCACUCUGGACUUGCAAUCCAGUGUUCCGAGUUCAAAAAUCAAUAGGACAU
Non-coding RNA from Danionella cerebrum, 72 nucleotides. Lineage: Eukaryota; Metazoa; Chordata; Actinopteri; Cypriniformes; Danionidae. The record is from the annotation of a GenBank genome assembly.